GCUGGGAAGGUGAGAAGCAAGUGGACAAAUGAUGAAGUAAAGGUUGCUGCAAAGUACCAGAUGAGUUGUUCCCAGUUCCAGUUGAGUGCUCGUAAGUGGGUCACUGCCUCAGCCUGUGCUGCUGUGUGCAUCCAUUAAAUUAAAGGAAACUCAUCCAAACCUACAAACAUAAAAAGGCAUCCCUCCUGCACACCCUGUAAAGAGUGCUAAGGAAUACAGCUCUACCAAACAAGGAAAGGAAAGGAAAGGAAGAAAUGUAUGUAAGUGUACGCUGACUGGAAAGUAAGAAAUGUAUGUAAAUGUAUGCUGACUUUUUAAAAAAUGCUGUCUAAAAUAGUAAACAACAGUAUAUUCUUUAUACUGAUUUAUACCCAGCUUUGUUCAUCAUUUUCUAGAGUCAUUUUUAAAGAUUAAAAUCACAACGUGGCUUAAUGAAGAGCAUGGAGCAGUUUCUUAUCAUUGUGCUUGUGGCAGGGGGAAUUCAUGGUAAGAUCGUCUUCAUAAAGAAGCAUUAGUAUUUGUAGUGUGAAUAACUUCAGCUCAUGUUCAUGUGAAUGCAUUUUUCCCAGCUCACGUUUCAGUUGAUGAGACUACGUGUGACCUCAGGACGAACGCAUGCUCUCCUCUUCUUGAAGGAACUGUGUAUAUCCAAGUGAUGACUGAUGCUAGUGGCCGUGAACUGAAAUGUUUGAGGGUGCUUCCCAAGGGGAACAUAACUGUGUUCAAUAUAAAGAAAGAAAAAAUAACAAUGACAGACAAGGAAUUUAACAACAGACUAACGUUUAUAAUCAAGAACGGGACACUCAAGAUCUCAAACCUGAGGAGGGAUGAUUCAGGUCAAUACAGUGUUGAGAUUUUUAAUUCAAAUGGAAUCCACGAGAAAAACGUUCUUUUCACCCUGUAUGUUAAAGACGAUGGCAAAAUUAAAGGUAUGUUUUGAAACUUACUCGUGAUUUUAUAUUGUAAAGUUAAAGUUAAUUGUUCAUGGUUUCUUGUUUGUUAUUGUUACUAUCACUAAGCCUCUGCAUUUGGGUCCUCUCUGCUAAACGCGAUCUGUGCCUGCAGAUGAUGACUGGUUAAUCACAAUAAUAGGUUAUUAUUCUUAUCAGUGAUUUAGUCUUAAAUUUUAUACUUUGAAGCUACACUGAAACUUUCCACUUGGUCAGUGAGUAUUAUUAUUAGCUGCACUGAAUGAGUGCAUUAACCUGUGUGGUAGAUAUGGUUCUUUCAUAGGAAAUAUGCAGUGGUUUAACAGAAGUGUGGUUUUCAUGGGUCUUUAACUCUAUCUGCUGUGGUGUGGUAUGGAGAGGUUUAGCAAAUAAUAAGAAUAGGAACAAUAAACUGUAUUUGCAUAGCACUUUUCUUAACAGUGUGGUUCACAGAAAGAAUGAAAAAGACUUGAUGAUAAGAAGAAGAGUUUUUGACACCUGAACUGAGGUUAAGUAUUAAAAUUCAAUCACAAUGUUAACUGUGAUUAUCAUUGAAAAAACAUGGAGAGUGUAUAUCUCAACUGACUGAUAUUGACUGAUUUUAUCUAUUUGUAACGUGGUGCCUCAGGCUCAUAAUAAAUUGGCUCAUUUCACAUUAGGCUCUUCUGUGUUACAUUGUUUUCAAAGAGUACAAUUUUCAUUAUAGUCAAAGUUAAAUAAAAAAUGUAGGAGUUGUACCAAUGAGAGUACAAAUUGUUUUUGCAACAUUAUUUAUACUGUGACAGUAAAGCUGAAAGUAGCUUAUAAAAACAGUGUUUUUAAUGAACUCUGUGUAGAAUAACUUUACAUAUAUAUGUUGUUAGAUCUUACAGGAGGAGGAACCUGAAAGACCACUGGACAUUUUGUUGUCAUUUCAACGUUUCUUUGUUAGGAUUAAGUACUAGAACUACUUGGUUAAUUUUAGCAAAAAAUCUGUUUUGGAUUGAAAUGCAUCCACACACCACUCUGCACCUCAAAAAAUGAUACUUGGUGUGCACAGCUAAGGAUGUGUUUCAUACUUUCUACUUUCCAUUCAGUUAACAGUUUUUCAAAAAUUCCGACAUUAUUUCAUAUAGAUAGAUAGAUAGAUAGAUAGAUAGAUAUGUAUAGACAGAGAGAGAGAGAGAGAGAUGGACAGUCCUCUGUGAAGAUUUGAAAGAUUGAAAGAUUUAUGAUUUUCCAGCAAAUUUUUUUAAAUGUUCAUCUUGAAAAAAAGUAAAUAAAUGCUUGUUUGCAUAGUGUGCACUUCAACAAACAGUAACUUGAAAACCACAAUUCCUGUUUUAGUUAAACAUCUGAAAAUGCUAAAAAAUAAAAUAAAAAAAUAAACGGUCAUUCUUGUCAGGACUAAGCAAUCAAAAUUGUCAAUUUUGCUUCCAUUUACUUUCUAUUUGCAGGUAUGAAAACUUGCUGUGUUGGCACACAGGAUGGAUUGAUUGAUGUCAUUGUCUCUAUUGCCUCAUGUGUUUUGCCAUAACAACACGUUGACUUGUUUUUUGUUUUUUUCAUUUAUUUCAGUAGCAGGAAUUUUACCAUUGAUGGGUGGUGUUCUCUCAGCACUGAUAAUUUUCUUAGUUGUGUGUGUAGCAGUCAUCUUUGCUUGGAGAAAAAAACAAAACAACAAACCUACAAAACAUGAAGAGGAACAUGACCAAGCAAUAACGUAUGCUGAUGUCAGGUUCACUCAACAGCAAGGGAGGCAAGUUGCGCAAACAGAGGAGAUAGAGGUGGAGGCAGAGUAUGCCCAUGUCAAUUCUUCAAAGUGACCUUGGCAGACUGAACCAACAGGAGAUGAUUGUUUGUUUGCCAAGGUUCAUAAAAUCAAGGGAUUUCAGUGAAAUCAAUGCUUUUACACAGACUGCACCACUGAAGGUCCACCGAGGGAGGAGGUGAUGUCAAGAUGCUCCAAGAUGAGGUCUUUCAUAUAAUGUAAUGUCACAUCACACAAAUCGUCAAAGCUCAUAAAAUCUUGUCUUUCUAACUUUCACUGUUUUUCCAAAUUACAGCAGGACAUAUGUGUAUCCUAUAUUAGGUUACCGCUAGGUUUGACUGCAAGUACUGUGAAUGUUUUUUUGUAAACAAAGGUUAUGACUGUAAUAUAACAUAACAUGAAUUUCAAUGCAAAAAUGUUUGGGCAGUGAUGAAACAUCCAGAUGCUAACAGCUUCUCCUGUAGUUGCAGAUAAUUUCCAGUGUAAACAAAGACACUUUCCUCACCUUUUUAAAUACAAAAUAUGGUUAAAUAUUUCUAUAUAGCACUAAAUGACCAUCUCAAGAAACAUUACACAUUAAAUCCUUAGAGUAUUACAGAUUUUAAUACUGUCAAACUACUUGUUAUAGUAGUAAUAACAUUGUUAAUAAUGUAUUGUCAUCAGUCUGGGAUCUAGGGAUGGCAAAUUUUCAACACUGGCAAUAACCUAGGAUAUAGUUUAACACAUACUUUAAAUGUUUUGACAGUUACCAGUGUAUUUACAAUCAGCCUCAGUACAAAUAUCAAGAAAAUGUUCAAAGUCAGAAUAACAGUUAUGCAGUUCAACUCUGCUUCUACAAUCACACAGUUGAUUUUUUUUUUGUUACAUUUGCAUGUUAGAGCUUCUUCUUUACUGCACUGUAACAAUAUAUUUGCAAAAUGGACUAACAUUUAAACAAUGAAUUUGCUCAUUAUAGACAUAUUUACAAUGAUUGACAUGCAUGACUGAAAGAUACUUGCUUGAAUGGUUAAUUUAUGAUGCCUUUAAUUAGCACUUUCUAAUAAUGUCACACUAUUAAGCAUUGGCAUUAGUGCUCAAUUCAUUAUUUAUAUGCCAUUACUCCUCCUUAGUAAUUGGUUCUGAGCCGCUUCUUGUCUGGAGUGCUGAUGGACAAGUUGAUGAUGUAAGGCUGGAGACUCUGCGGACUAACAUGUUCACAGAGCUGAUAUGAUAGGAAAAGAUGUUAGGGAUAGAAAGACACAAGAUGGAGCGUGGUGAUUACCUGGGACGGCCCCUAAAAGUAUCAGAUGGAAGAAGAAGAGGUAAUCCUGAGCUGUCCAGACAGUUUAUAAUAAAACAUCAGAGUUCAGGGUUAAACCUCAUCUUCUGUUUCUGUCCUCUUAUUUUACUGUCUUAUUUCCUAUAUGCUGUAUUGUAUAUAAAUGUAAUCAUGAACACAGACAAAUAUUGUACAAACUGCUUGUAUUAAAAAAAAAAAUGAAUUCAUUAAAAUAUGUGCUGUAGCCUGUUCAUCAGUCCAGAUUUAAAUAUACUCAAACAGAAGAAAAUAACAAAACUGAAUAAAAGAAUAAAAGUGAGG
Oreochromis aureus is the source of this 4258-nucleotide long non-coding RNA. NCBI's taxonomy places the organism in Eukaryota, Metazoa, Chordata, Actinopteri, Cichliformes, Cichlidae. The record is from Ensembl.